UACGUAGGGCGCAAGCGUUAUCCGGAAUUAUUGGGCGUAAAGAGCUCGUAGGCGGUUUGUCACGUCUGCUGUGAAAUCCCGAGGCUCAACCUCGGGCCUGCAGUGGGUACGGGCAGACUGGAGUGCGGUAGGGGAGAAUGGAAUUCCUGGUGUAGCGGUGGAAUGCGCAGAUAUCAGGAGGAACACCGAUGGCGAAGGCAGUUCUCUGGGCCGUAACUGACGCUGAGGAGCGAAAGCGUGGGGAGCGAACAGG
RNAcentral lists this ribosomal RNA (253 nucleotides) under uncultured bacterium. Its description in RNAcentral is "partial 16S ribosomal RNA". It matches the Rfam family "Bacterial small subunit ribosomal RNA", at positions 524 to 776 of the family's 1533-position model. The record is from RNAcentral.